GUCGUUCCUCCGCGUUACAGAGCUACAGCGGUCUCCGGGUGGCGAAGUGCGGAGACGGGGUUUUGGAGACGGUGGAUGGAGGAGGGGGAGGGAAAGCUGCCAACUUUGGAUACCAACCCCGUACACCCACCGAAGGGGAUGUCCCACUUUUUCCAGCGCUGGGAGCAAAAAGAUAACAGUGAGCGAGGUUGAAAACACCUGACAGUGAAAAGAGCAAUUUGAAGAAAAACAAAAUUUAUCUUCAAUGUGAAAAGCAAUUUAUAAAAAUCCGAAUACUUGCCAGGAGCAACUUGACAAAAAAGACAAAGGUGGUAGAAGAAAUGUAACCAGCCCACAAUUCCAAUGUUGAUAACAGAUGAGCUCCCUUUCAAGGUGACUGACAUUUACACAAGUACACAGAGCAAGAAGAAGGUCUGAGUGAACUGCCAAGCAUUUUAACUUCUCCUGAGACCAAGUACAUCAACAGUUCUCUUGGAAAAGAACAACUGAUUUGGGAGUCUAGCAGACUGCCAGCUGCAAGACAUUCAUCCAGCAUCAGGAACACAAUGGGCCUUCAUUUGCCUGCCUUUCUGAGGGCACCAAUCAAAAGGAGUCUACUCCUAUGUAAAUCUUCUGCAGGUUGUGCAGUGGACUUCACCUAGUCUCCCAUCUCCAGCUAAUUUGGCCAAGAAUAGUCACCUGGCGCAAGGUGGGGAGGGAGCUCUCAAUUGGCCAGCAACUUCUGACGUGUGACCUGACUGAACAAUGAGAGGCUCGAGUGAAAUUACCAGCUGGUAGUAGGACAGAGGAUAUAGAUACAUGGAAUGGAGCUGAGCCAAAUUAAUGACAAAGGACUAGACAAGAAUGACUGUUGAUGAUCACCUAUGCUGAGAUCACAAAGCUGCCCCGAGUCCAGAAGCAGGUUCACUGAGGGAGGCUCAACCAUGUUACCAAUCUUGUUUGAGAUUAAUGUUCCUUGUUG
RNAcentral lists this long non-coding RNA (961 nucleotides) under Homo sapiens (human). RNAcentral describes it as "HSALNT0348502". Lineage: Eukaryota; Metazoa; Chordata; Mammalia; Primates; Hominidae. The record is from RNAcentral.